RNAcentral lists this long non-coding RNA (801 nucleotides) under Capra hircus (goat). RNAcentral's name for it is "lncRNA (ENSCHIG00000001948.1)". The record is from RNAcentral. Lineage: Eukaryota; Metazoa; Chordata; Mammalia; Artiodactyla; Bovidae.
AAGGCAUAUCGGGCACACCCUGUAACACACACAAACACACACACACACACACACACACACACACACACGAGCUCCAGACCUGCAGGGGCCAAUGGAAAGCUUCGGAGCAUACUCCCCAGCCACUGCAAGAAGCCCAGUCUGAACCUAGCAGGAAGAACGGCACCAGGAGCAGCCAGCAGAGCCCUGAUGAAGGGCCUGAACUGUCAUCGUGGAAGAAAACCUGUAUGUGACAUCUCUGCCCACGAUCCAGGCCCAGAGCUGGAUCCUUACACACUGUGUCUCACUGACUCCCAGCUUUAUCCCCACGGGGAAACAGAAGAAACAGGGAAGCAAGACCACUGGCCUCAGGACAAUAAAAAAAGGACAGAGCCGAAGCCAAGGGCCAAAGAAGCCUGGGCUGGUGAACCUCACACUUCUCUUUUGAUGACGAUGAGAGCUGUUCAUCUGUGUCACACUCACUUUCUUCCCAGCCGCAGCCGCAGCCCCACACUGUGUGAGAAGCUGAGAUCAAAGGCCGUCAAUGACUUUCCUUCAUGUAAACCAAAGAACUUGACAAAAUUCCUGCUUGCCACCAAGCUGGGCUUCUAAAACUCCUCUUUUCUGUGGGCAAAAUAGUAUCAAUGUGUUAUUUUAUUUAAAUACACAGGGAGAGAGAGAGAGGGAGAGAGAGACUAGAGGAAGGAGGAGAGUUAAAAAAGAAGGAGGAGCAGGGAAGCAGGGAGGAGCUUGGGGGAGGGGCAGUGUGGACAAAUGGGUUCCCAGCCAUGGAUGGGCCCUUUGGUGUUCUGCUCUACGUUCUCA